GAUUAAAGAUUUAUCGGUGAUGGAUGGGGAUGCGUCUGAUUAGCUUGUUGGCGGGGUAACGGCCCACCAAGGCGACGAUCAGUAGGGGUUCUGAGAGGAAGGUCCCCCACAUUGGAACUGAGACACGGUCCAAACUCCUACGGGAGGCAGCAGUGAGGAAUAUUGGUCAAUGGACGAGAGUCUGAACCAGCCAAGUAGCGUGCAGGAAGACGGCCCUAUGGGUUGUAAACUGCUUUUAUAAGGGAAUAAAGUGAGUCUCGUGAGACUUUUUGCAUGUACCUUAUGAAUAAGGACCGGCUAAUUCCGUGCCAGCAGCCGCGGUAAUACGGAAGGUCCGGGCGUUAUCCGGAUUUAUUGGGUUUAAAGGGAGCGUAGGCCGGAGAUUAAGCGUGUUGUGAAAUGUAGACGCUCAACGUCUGCACUGCAGCGCGAACUGGUUUCCUUGAGUACGCACAAAGUGGGCGGAAUUCGUGGUGUAGCGGUGAAAUGCUUAGAUAUCACGAAGAACUCCGAUUGCGAAGGCAGCUCACUGGAGCGCAACUGACGCUGAAGCUCGAAAGUGCGGGUAUCGAACAGGAUUAGAUACCCUGGUAGUCCGCACGGUAAACGAUGGAUGCCCGCUGUUGG
Molecule: ribosomal RNA, 627 nt
Filed under: Segatella copri
Lineage: Bacteria; Pseudomonadati; Bacteroidota; Bacteroidia; Bacteroidales; Prevotellaceae
Description: bacterial SSU rRNA
Rfam family: Bacterial small subunit ribosomal RNA
Source: RNAcentral